UACGUAGGGGGCAAGCGUUGUCCGGAUUCAUUGGGCGUAAAGAGCUCGUAGGCGGUUCAGUAAGUCGGGUGUGAAAUCUCCGUGCUCAACACGGAGCGGCCACCUGAUACUGCUGUGACUCGAGUCCGGUAGGGGAGUGUGGAAUUCCCGGUGUAGCGGUGAAAUGCGCAGAUAUCGGGAGGAACACCGAUGGCGAAGGCAGGUCUCUGGGCCACUACUGACGCUGAGAAGCGAAAGCAUGGGGAGCGAACAGGG
This 255-nucleotide ribosomal RNA is filed under the name uncultured bacterium. RNAcentral describes it as "partial 16S ribosomal RNA". It matches the Rfam family "Bacterial small subunit ribosomal RNA", at positions 524 to 777 of the family's 1533-position model. The record is from RNAcentral.